UACGUAGGGUGCAAGCGUUUAAUCGGAAUUACUGGGCGUAAAGCGUGCGCAGGCGGUUAUGUAAGACAGUUGUGAAAUCCCCGGGCUCAACCUGGGAACUGCAUCUGUGACUGCAUAGCUAGAGUACGGUAGAGGGGAUGGAAUUCCGCGUGUAGCAGUGAAUGCGUAGAUAUGCGGAGGAACACCGAUGGCGAAGGCAAUCCCCUGGACCUGUACUGACGCUCAUGCACGAAAGCGUGGGAGCAAACAGG
Molecule: ribosomal RNA, 251 nt
Filed under: uncultured bacterium
Lineage: Bacteria
Description: partial 16S ribosomal RNA
Rfam family: Bacterial small subunit ribosomal RNA
Source: RNAcentral